UUUGUAGAAUGAACCGGCGAGUUACGAUUUGAUGCAAGGUUAAGCAGUAAAUGUGGAGCCGUAGCGAAAGCGAGUCUGAAUAGGGCGUUUAGUAUUUGGUCGUAGACCCGAAACCAGGUGAUCUACCCUUGGUCAGGUUGAAGUUCAGGUAACACUGAAUGGAGGACCGAACCGACUUACGUUGAAAAGUGAGCGGAUGAACUGAGGGUAGCGGAGAAAUUCCAAUCGAACCUGGAGAUAGCUGGUUCUCUCCGAAAUAGCUGUAGGGCUAGCCUCAAGUGAUGAUUAUUGGAGGUAGAGCACUGUUUGGACGAGGGGCCCCUCUCGGGUUACCGAAUUCAGACAAACUCCGAAUGCCAAUUAAUUUAAC
This 370-nucleotide ribosomal RNA is filed under the name Staphylococcus aureus. RNAcentral describes it as "partial 23S ribosomal RNA". It matches the Rfam family "Bacterial large subunit ribosomal RNA", at positions 607 to 976 of the family's 2925-position model. Lineage: Bacteria; Bacillati; Bacillota; Bacilli; Caryophanales; Staphylococcaceae. The record is from RNAcentral.